RNAcentral lists this long non-coding RNA (320 nucleotides) under Helicoverpa zea (corn earworm). RNAcentral describes it as "uncharacterized LOC124637353, transcript variant X1". Lineage: Eukaryota; Metazoa; Arthropoda; Insecta; Lepidoptera; Noctuidae. The record is from RNAcentral.
CAACAUCUGGCCAGGGUAACGCACACGCUUUUGCUCAGCUAUUAUAUUGGGGUCGGCUUCCAGUAUAACCAUAUAUUGGUAUAAUGAUUAAGACCGGUGUCUAGAUGGCGCUGAUCUUGGUACGUGACUACAAGGAACGGAGCGUCAUUUUCAGGUCGUAAAACGGAACGUACUUGUCAGCAACAAUGUGGGAUUUUCUUUUUGUUUUUUUUUUACUUUUCGAGCCCAGUCAAAAUUCAUCGACAUUUUUGGAUUAUAAAGUUUUGGUCUGACGUUUUACCUGUAUGCAAGGGCACUGAAUAAAAGAAACAACAAAAAUA